GCGUGUAGGGGUACCACUGUGAUGUCCCAAGAAGAAGAACCAUGAAAAAAAUAUUUUGUAUUCAUGCAUGUUAUUAGAAUUUCAUGCGUAUAUGAUAUACUUGAGAUGCUUAGUUAUAAUCAUGUCGUAUGAUUAUGUUUUCAUAUCUUAGAGAUAUAAUAAGAUGCCAUGAUUAGUUGUUAUGAUUAUUAAGACACAACUAUAAUAGUGCAUCAUUGUGAUUGAUUGAAUUAUGAUAUGCUUGAAACCAUUCAAGCCCUCAUAAAAAUCAUAUU
RNAcentral lists this long non-coding RNA (275 nucleotides) under Elaeis guineensis (African oil palm). Its description in RNAcentral is "long non-coding RNA (EGUI_LNC075687)". Lineage: Eukaryota; Viridiplantae; Streptophyta; Magnoliopsida; Arecales; Arecaceae. The record is from RNAcentral.